AGUGAACGCUGGCGGUAGGCCUAACACAUGCAAGUCGAACGGCAGCACAGUAAGAGCUUGCUCUUACGGGUGGCGAGUGGCGGACGGGUGAGGAAUACAUCGGAAUCUACUUUUUCGUGGGGGAUAACGUAGGGAAACUUACGCUAAUACCGCAUACGACCUACGGGUGAAAGCAGGGGAUCUUCGGACCUUGCGCGAUUGAAUGAGCCGAUGUCGGAUUAGCUAGUUGGCGGGGUAAAGGCCCGCCAAGGCGACGAUCCGUAGCUGGUCUGAGAGGAUGAUCAGCCACACUGGAACUGAGACACGGUCCAGACUCCUACGGGAGGCAGCAGUGGGGAAUAUUGGACAAUGGGCGCAAGCCUGAUCCAGCCAUACCGCGUGGGUGAAGAAGGCCUUCGGGUUGUAAAGCCCUUUUGUUGGGAAAGAAAAGCAGCAGGUUAAUACCCCGCUGUUCUGACGGUACCCAAAGAAUAAGCACCGGCUAACUUCGU
This 491-nucleotide ribosomal RNA is filed under the name uncultured bacterium. RNAcentral's name for it is "partial 16S ribosomal RNA". It matches the Rfam family "Bacterial small subunit ribosomal RNA", at positions 29 to 506 of the family's 1533-position model. The record is from RNAcentral.